AGAUACGGGCCCGACUCCUACGGGAGGCAGCAGUAGGGAAUAUUGGGCAAUGGAUGCAAGUCUGACCCAGCCGUGCCGCGUGCCGGAUGAAGGCCCUCAGGGUUGUAAACGGCUUUUAUUCGGGAAGAAGAGCAGGGAUGCGUCCUUGUGUGAUGGUACCGAAUGAAUAAGCACCGGCUAACUCCGUGCCAGCAGCCGCGGUAAUACGGAGGGUGCGAGCGUUGUCCGGAUUUAUUGGGUUUAAAGGGUGCGUAGGUGGCCUGUUAAGUCAGUGGUGAAAUACAGCCGCUCAACGGUUGGGGUGCCAUGAUACUGACGGGCUUGAAUAAUUGGAGGCUGCCGGAAUGGAUGGUGUAGCGGUGAAAUGCAUAGAUAUCAUCCAGAACACCGAUUGCGAAGGCAGGUGGCUACGAUUGGUUUGACACUGAGGCACGAAAGCAUGGGGAGCAAACAGGAUUAGAUACCUGGUAGUCCAUGCUGUAAAC
This 485-nucleotide ribosomal RNA is filed under the name uncultured bacterium. RNAcentral describes it as "bacterial SSU rRNA". It matches the Rfam family "Bacterial small subunit ribosomal RNA", at positions 322 to 807 of the family's 1533-position model. The record is from RNAcentral.